UACGUAGGGGGCAAGCGUUGUCCGGAAUUAUUGGGCGUAAAGAGCGUGUAGGCGGCCCGGUAAGUCCGCUGUGAAAGUCGGGGGCUCAACCCUCGGAUGCCGGUGGAUACUGUCGGGCUCGAGUGCGGAAGAGGCGAGUGGAAUUCCUGGUGUAGCGGUGAAAUGCGCAGAUAUCAGGAGGAACACCAAUUGCGAAGGCAGCUCGCUGGGACGUUACUGACGCUGAGACGCGAAAGCGUGGGGAGCAAACAGG
RNAcentral lists this ribosomal RNA (253 nucleotides) under uncultured bacterium. RNAcentral's name for it is "partial 16S ribosomal RNA". It matches the Rfam family "Bacterial small subunit ribosomal RNA", at positions 524 to 776 of the family's 1533-position model. The record is from RNAcentral.